AGAGUUUGAUCCUGGCUCAGAACGAACGCUGGCGGCAUGCCUAACACAUGCAAGUCGAACGAGAAGUCCCGCAAGGGAUUGUAAAGUGGCGCACGGGUGCGUAACACGUGGGUAAUCUGCCCUCGAGCUUGGGAUAACUCUUCGAAAGAAGAGCUAAUACCGGAGAGACCACAGGAGCAUCAGCUCUAGGGGUUAAAGGU
This 200-nucleotide ribosomal RNA is filed under the name uncultured bacterium. RNAcentral's name for it is "partial 16S ribosomal RNA". It matches the Rfam family "Bacterial small subunit ribosomal RNA", at positions 8 to 209 of the family's 1533-position model. The record is from RNAcentral.